CUCGGUCUGUUAGAGGUUACAAUAAAGGAUGACCGACUUAUGUCUUCAAGUUUUUUAAAGUAUAUAGUCCUAUAGACCAAGGAACUCACCAUCUUACUUCAAGAAUUAUUGAGCCUUCAGCCUGAUAACUCUAUCUAUGUUCCAGCCUCUUCUUCUUCAAGAGUACGGUUUAAAGAAAAACCUUCAACUAUUUUAAAGCGGGUUCAAGAUGAACUUACAAAACUAGAGCAAAAAAAAAGGGAUCUCUAAACUUUUAGAAAUAUUCAUUUCUAAUAAUUAUACUGAAAAUUAAAAGCCGC
Molecule: long non-coding RNA, 299 nt
Organism: Zophobas morio
Lineage: Eukaryota; Metazoa; Arthropoda; Insecta; Coleoptera; Tenebrionidae
Exons: 3
Source: RefSeq, a predicted model, not a curated record